AUUGAACGCUGGCGGCAGGCCUAACACAUGCAAGUCGAGCGGAUGAAGGGAGCUUGCUCCUGGAUUCAGCGGCGGACGGGUGAGUAAUGCCUAGGAAUCUGCCUGGUAGAGGGGGAUAACGUCCGGAAACGGGCGCUAAUACCGCAUACGUCCUGAGGGAGAAAGUGGGGGAUCUUCGGACCUCACGCUAUCAGAUGAGCCUAGGUCGGAUUAGCUAGUUGGUGGGGUAAAGGCCUACCAAGGCGACGAUCCGUAACUGGUCUGAGAGGAUGAUCAGUCACACUGGAACUGAGACACGGUCCAGACUCCUACAGGAGGCAGCAGUGGGGAAUAUUGGACAAUGGGCGAAAGCCUGAUCCAGCCAUGCCGCGUGUGUGAAGAAGGUCUUCGGAUUGUAAAGCACUUUAAGUUGGGAGGAAGGGCAGUAAGUUAAUACCUUGCUGUUUUGACGUUACCAACAGAAUAAGCACCGGCUAACUUCGUG
RNAcentral lists this ribosomal RNA (484 nucleotides) under uncultured bacterium. Its description in RNAcentral is "partial 16S ribosomal RNA". It matches the Rfam family "Bacterial small subunit ribosomal RNA", at positions 30 to 507 of the family's 1533-position model. The record is from RNAcentral.